RNAcentral lists this ribosomal RNA (547 nucleotides) under uncultured bacterium. Its description in RNAcentral is "bacterial SSU rRNA". It matches the Rfam family "Bacterial small subunit ribosomal RNA", at positions 355 to 896 of the family's 1533-position model. The record is from RNAcentral.
UGAGGAAUAUUGGACAAUGGGCGCAAGCCUGAUCCAGCCAUGCCGCGUGCAGGAUGACGGUCCUAUGGAUUGUAAAACUGCUUUUGUACGAGAAGAAACACUCCUUCGUGAAGGAGCUUGACGGUAUCGUAAGAAUAAGGAUCGGCUAACUCCGUGCCAGCAGCCGCGGUAAUACGGAGGAUCCAAGCGUUAUCCGGAAUCAUUGGGUUUAAAGGGUCCGUAGGCGGUUUAGUAAGUCAGUGGUGAAAAGCCCAUCGCUCAACGGUGGAACGGCCAUUGAUACUGCUGAACUUGAAUUAUUAGGAAGUAACUAGAAUAUGUAGUGUAGCGGUGAAAAUGCUUAGAGAUUACAUGGAAUACCAAUUGCGAAGGCAGGUUACUACUAAUGGAUUGACGCUGAUGGACGAAAAGCGUGGGUAGCGAAACAGGAUUAAGAUACCCUGGUAGUCCACGCCGUAAAACGAUGGAUACUAGCUGUUGGGGGGCCAACUUCAGUGGCUAAGCGAAAGUGAUAAGUAUCCCACCUGGGAGUACGUUCGCAAGAAUG